CCUUCAGCCCCUGUGAGGUGAGGGGGUCCUGCUUUCAGUCCAGUUGGCCCACUGAGGGCUGGGGGGAGGGUGCAGCCGCUGUGUCCCCCGUGCCCCUCCCCUCCCUGAAGGUGGCUGUCUGGAACCAUGGAGGAUGUUCCAUAUCAAGAGCUUGGGGCUGACUGGAGUCAUGAGAGCUGGUGGAGGGAGAGGACAGUGGGGGCAGACUGGAUGGUCCUGAGGCCUCGGCCCUUCAGGGGCCAGACCAGCCCCAGCAGCCUCUUGGUCACGCCUUGGGGAAGCUGAGAGCUGCCUGCUGCCCAGAAGGCUUGCUGCCUCAGCCGCACACCCCGGAUGCUCUGGAAUGUUCCCUGGCCCUGCUCAUUGGCCCUCAGAGCCUCUCCUCUGCUGCCCCUCCCAUGUCCCCUCCCCUCUGCCUCCUGGACGGGGCGCCUGGGCCCUGCAGAGUCUGUCCCUCCUGGCGACUUUCUCUCACUCAUCUCUUCCCCGUGCUCUUUUGCUAAAUUCUCCAGCUCUUCACUCUCCAUGAGGACCCUUCCGGAAAGCAGUGAGGAGAGGACAGGAAGGACUACAGAUGCUGUGCGGACGUUGUACCUCCAGAAAGUGGACAACAGGAAGCCUCGAAGAGCGUGCAGCCGACCCUUGACACCAUAGGGGUCCAUGACCUAACCAGACAGAGCCAUGAACAGACACGACAGUAGGAAACAGACUUCUCUCUGCACAACGUGUCUAAGGUCGGUCAGACAACUGAGGAAGUAUCAGGAGUGACCACUUACGGGGUUUGGGGUCUGGGGCUUCUGCUGGGGUGAUGAAGAAGGUCUGGGGCCAGAUGGUGGGGAUGACGCACAGCGCUGUGCAGGCCCUGAAUGUCAUGGUGGUGUAUACUUUAAAAUGGCUCAAAUGGCAAACCUUAUGUGUAUUUUACCACAAUAAAAAUA
This 938-nucleotide long non-coding RNA is filed under the name Ailuropoda melanoleuca (giant panda). RNAcentral's name for it is "lncRNA (ENSAMEG00000030081.1)". The record is from RNAcentral. Lineage: Eukaryota; Metazoa; Chordata; Mammalia; Carnivora; Ursidae.